AAACUCAAAUGAAUUGACGGGGAGCACACGAACGGUGGAGCUUGCGGUUUAAUUGGAUUCAACGCCGGAAAUCUUACCGGGACCGACAGCAAUAUGAAGGCCAGGCUGAAGACUUUGCCGGAUUAGCUGAGAGGUGGUGCAUGGCCGUCGUCAGUUCGUACUGUGAAGCAUCCUGUUAAGUCAGGCAACGAGCGAGACCCACGCCCACAGUUGCCAGCGUACUCUCUGGAGUGACGGGUACACUGUGGGGACCGCCGCUGCUAAAGCGGAGGAAGGAAUGGGCAACGAUAGGUCAGUAUGCCCCGAAUAUCCCGGGCUACACGCGAGCUACAAUGGUUGGUACAAUGGGUAUCUACCCCGAAAGGGGACGGGAAUCUCCUAAAACCAAUCUUAGUUCGGAUUGAGGGCUGCAACUCGCCCUCAUGAAGCUGGAAUCCGUAGUAAUCGCGUUUCAACAGAACGCGGUGAAUACGUCCCUGCUCCUU
This 485-nucleotide ribosomal RNA is filed under the name uncultured Methanosaeta sp. RNAcentral's name for it is "bacterial SSU rRNA". It matches the Rfam family "Archaeal small subunit ribosomal RNA", at positions 852 to 1338 of the family's 1478-position model. Lineage: Archaea; Methanobacteriati; Methanobacteriota; Methanomicrobia; Methanotrichales; Methanotrichaceae. The record is from RNAcentral.